RNAcentral lists this transfer RNA (82 nucleotides) under Friedmanniomyces endolithicus. RNAcentral's name for it is "tRNA-Trp". It matches the Rfam family "tRNA". Rfam says of the family: Transfer RNA (tRNA) molecules are approximately 80 nucleotides in length. The record is from RNAcentral. Lineage: Eukaryota; Fungi; Ascomycota; Dothideomycetes; Mycosphaerellales; Teratosphaeriaceae.
GGACUGUUGGCGCAGCGGUAGCGCGUCUGAUUCCAGACUUGGAAAUACCAGAAGGUCAUCCGUUCAAAUCGGGUACGGUUCA